Molecule: ribosomal RNA, 770 nt
Filed under: uncultured Neocallimastigales
Lineage: Eukaryota; Fungi; Neocallimastigomycota; Neocallimastigomycetes; Neocallimastigales
Description: partial large subunit ribosomal RNA
Rfam family: Eukaryotic large subunit ribosomal RNA
Source: RNAcentral
GUACACGCUGUGACUAGCAUAUCAAUAAGCGGAGGAAAAGAAACUAACAAGGAUUCCCUCAGUAGCGGCGAGUGAAGCGGGAAGAGCUCAAAUUUGAAAUCUUGAAAGGUCACCUUUCACGAAUUGUAGUUUAAAGAAGUGUUUUCUGUUACGAUCGUAAUAUAAGUUCUUUGGAAUAGGACAUCACAGAGGGUGAGAAUCCCGUCUAUGAUUGCGAUUUGUAGCUUUGUGAUACACUUUCAAAGAGUCGGGUUGUUUGGGAAUGCAGCCCAAAACGGGAGGUAAAUUUCUUCUAAGGCUAAAUAUUGGCGAGAGACCGAUAGCGAACAAGUACCGUGAGGGAAAGAUGAAAAGAACUUUGAAAAGAGAGUUAAAUAGUACGUGAAAUUGUCAAAAGGGAAGCGUUUAACACCAGUGUUGUUUUCUGAAAAUCAACCUCUGUUAGCUUUAUGCAUGUUUGUUUAGACCUAAUCAGCUAUCUUGCAUGUUCUAUUGUUUGCAGUGGUGCACUUUUCAGUUUACAGGUCAACAUCAGUUUUUUUUACCGUAAAAAGUUAAAGAAAGGUAGCUCAUGGCUCCGGUCGUGAGUGUUAUAGUCUUUUUCCUAUGCGGUAGGAGAGACUGAGGUCUGCAGUGUAGGCUAUUUGGCUAGAUACUCAGGUGCUAUGUGAUACCAUUUCAUAAACAACUUGUUGAUUAUGUUUUGUCUAUUGCAUACUCGCUUGUACUAUCAUACCUACGCUUAGGAUGUUGAGUAGCGACAUACGCAC